CUCCGCCGGCUCACUUGGCCCCGCUGGGGUGACCUGAUUAUCGCCUGUCUGUAAUUAUGCUGAAACCAGAGGUGUGCUGCUUUUCAUGUGGGGGUCCUGAUUAGGGAGGCGAGGCGUUCUCGGCGUCUACCCAAGAGCCUUGAUGAGUAUUAACACAGGAGUCCUGUUGUUUGUGCAGCUUUGUUGUUAGGUAUAUAUGCUCGUCAGGCAGAUGAUACCUAAGGCGGGAACUUUGAGCGUCGGAGGGUGCAGAUGGAGUGAAAGGAUUUAGACAAGCUUCAGUCUGGAUCCAGAAAACCUGAAGAGAUGAUGCCAACCCCUCAGAGGACCUCAGAUGAUGCCAACCCUGAAACAACAUACAGAUCUACCAAAUUUUGCUCCACCAGAUCCAGUCUGUAUUCAGGUCAGAUGGUCACUGCAGUCACCCGGAUCCAGUACGUAUCCAGCCCAGAUGGUGGAUCAGCACCUAGAAAGGACCUCUACAGCCCUGAAUGUCAGCGGAGACCAGGACCUUGUCUCAGACCACCGGGACAAGACCACAGGAACCAGUUGAGUGCUCUGCACAAUCUGACUUUGCUGCAGCCUGGAAUUAAACUGCUGGUUUCGUCUGGCCAGAGGAGAACUGGCCUCCUGACUGAGCCUGGUUUCUCCCAAGGUUUUGGAGUUUUGGUUCCUUGCCGCUGUCACCUCUGGCUUGCUUAGUUGGGACACUUCAUUUACAGCCAUAUCGUUGACUUGAUU
Long non-coding RNA from Cyprinus carpio carpio, 741 nucleotides. The record is from Ensembl. NCBI's taxonomy places the organism in Eukaryota, Metazoa, Chordata, Actinopteri, Cypriniformes, Cyprinidae.